UAAGGAAUAUUGGUCAAUGGACGCAAGUCUGAACCAGCCAUGCCGCGUGGAGGAUUAAGGCCCUCUGGGUUGUAAACUCCUUUUAUCUGGGAAGAAAUCCAUUAAUUCUUUAGUGGUUGACGGUACCAGAGGAAUAAGCACCGGCUAACUCCGUGCCAGCAGCCGCGGUAAUACGGAGGGUGCAAGCGUUAUCCGGAUUCACUGGGUUUAAAGGGUGCGUAGGCGGGCCGGUAAGUCCGUGGUGAAAUCUCGGAGCUUAACUCGGAAACUGCCAUGGAUACUAUCUGUCUUGAAUAUUGUGGAGGUGAGCGGAAUAUGUCAUGUAGCGGUGAAAUGCUUAGAUAUGACAUAGAACACCAAUUGCGAAGGCAGCUCACUACACAGUAAUUGACGCUGAGGCACGAAAGCGUGGGGAUCAAACAG
Molecule: ribosomal RNA, 423 nt
Filed under: uncultured bacterium
Lineage: Bacteria
Description: bacterial SSU rRNA
Rfam family: Bacterial small subunit ribosomal RNA
Source: RNAcentral